Molecule: long non-coding RNA, 478 nt
Organism: Leptonychotes weddellii (Weddell seal)
Lineage: Eukaryota; Metazoa; Chordata; Mammalia; Carnivora; Phocidae
Source: RefSeq, a predicted model, not a curated record
GAUCUGUGUCCUGUACAUCAGGCGCCUAAUGAGUACUUGUCCAAUGCAGAGUGCGUAUUUUAAAAGGCUUAUUUAAAGGACUGUGCAGCCGCCACUGGAGUGGCCCUUGGCCAGGAUGCAGUUCUAGAGCCGUCCACAAGAUGCUGCUGUCUGCUAGCGCUAGAGGAUGAUGCCCGGCUGAGGAAGGGUGGGUCGGGGAAGAAACCCCCCAUCCCAGGCCUACUCAUGCUCAUCGCUCACCUCUGCUGUGGCAAUGGCCUCCUGACGCACAGACGUUCUUGCUUCCGGUCCAUCUACAGUCCCUUCUCCGCGAAGCAGCCAAGAGAGCAGUGGGGCAACGUAUGUGGUGUAACCAAUCCCAUAUCCAGAUACUGACCAUUUCAAAUCCCAGAAGAAGCAUCCUCCAGAGGCUCCUCUUCACGUGUAGCCAUGUUUCUGAUUUUUAUUACCAUAGAUUUGUCUCUUUUUGGGGAGCCUA